Molecule: non-coding RNA, 970 nt
Organism: Carassius gibelio (silver crucian carp)
Lineage: Eukaryota; Metazoa; Chordata; Actinopteri; Cypriniformes; Cyprinidae
Source: the annotation of a RefSeq genome assembly
CCAUGUACUAAAGUGAAGUGUGUCUGUGGCACGGAAGCAGAAAUUCAUAUUUUUAAUCAUGAUCUUCUCAUCAGCUCUGCUUCUGCUGGCAGCAGCUGCAUCCUGUGGUGUUUUCUGUGUUGAGCUCACUCAACCUUCAUCUAUGGUUGUGAAACCUCAAGAAUCAUUCUCCAUCUCCUGCAGGAUUUCAGAAUCAAGCUAUUGCAUUAAUUGGAUCCGUCAACCCACUGGAAAAACAAUGGAAUGGCUUGGAUAUCUUUGUGAUGGUGGUGGCACUAAAACUACAGACUCAGUGAAAAACAAGAUCAGUUUCACCCAGGACACGUCCAAAAACACAGUGUUUCUACAGGGGAAGAAUUUUGAGACUGAGGACUCAGCCGUGUAUUACUGUGCAAGAUACACACAGUGACUAAACAAGCCACCGCUCUGUACAAAAAAAGUUUAAACACAUUAAACAAAUGAACAUCAGCUCAACUGGUUUUAUUCAACUCAAUAUUAACAUGACUAUACCAACAAAAGUUAUUUUUGUGGUCAAGAUCAGGUAUAAAUGAUUAUUAAAGGUAACGACUGCACACAUUCAGUCAUUACAGUGUAUUAUACAAUUCCACUUAUAAACCAUGUCUUAUCUGUAUGAGUGCAGUGAGAUUGUGAGACGUUUUUAUUAUUUUUGAGCAUUAUUAAACAGUUUUUCAUUGAAACAUGAUAUAUACUCUCAGUCUGUUCAGGGACGUUUCAGCAUCUCCAGAGACAACAGCAAUAAACAGAUGUAUCUGCAGAUGAAUAAUAUGAAGAAUGAAGACACUGCUGUAUAUUAUUGUGCAAGAAAACCACAUUGACAAAUACAACUACAGUACUGUACAAAAUCUGAAUAUAACAAGCAGCAAAUUAAACUGCAUACAUGCUUUCAUGACAUCCUGUUGAGAAGUUCCCAUUGCAUUUCCACUUGAAAACUGUUUGGAACAAUUAACAU